UGUGGGAGCUGGCUUGCCUGCGAUGCAAGCAACUCGGUUUCUAAGUGAUACCCAGUUGAUACUAUCGCAGGCAAGCCAGCUCCCACA
RNAcentral lists this unclassified non-coding RNA (87 nucleotides) under Pseudomonas sp. bs2935. Lineage: Bacteria; Pseudomonadati; Pseudomonadota; Gammaproteobacteria; Pseudomonadales; Pseudomonadaceae. The record is from RNAcentral.